GGAUCGAUGAUGACUCCCACAAAUGCAUUCCUUGGAAAUCUGAACAAAAUGAGUGAGAAAUCCCUACCGUCUCCUCUUUGGAUCUGAGGUCC
This is a small nucleolar RNA of Balaenoptera musculus (blue whale), 92 nucleotides long. Its record names the gene SNORD116. It matches the Rfam family "Small nucleolar RNA SNORD116". From Rfam's summary of the family: HBII-85 is a member of the C/D class of snoRNAs, which contain the C (UGAUGA) and D (CUGA) box motifs. HBII-85 is encoded in a tandemly repeated array with another C/D snoRNA, HBII-52, in the Prader-Willi syndrome (PWS) region of chromosome 15. Lineage: Eukaryota; Metazoa; Chordata; Mammalia; Artiodactyla; Balaenopteridae. The record is from Ensembl.